RNAcentral lists this ribosomal RNA (397 nucleotides) under Sphingobium yanoikuyae. Its description in RNAcentral is "bacterial SSU rRNA". It matches the Rfam family "Bacterial small subunit ribosomal RNA", at positions 27 to 450 of the family's 1533-position model. Lineage: Bacteria; Pseudomonadati; Pseudomonadota; Alphaproteobacteria; Sphingomonadales; Sphingobiaceae. The record is from RNAcentral.
GAACGAACGCUGGCGGGCAUGCCUAAUACAUGCAAGUCGAACGAGAUCUUCGGAUCUAGUGGCGCACGGGUGCGUAACGCGUGGGAAUCUGCCCUUGGGUUCGGAAUAACAUCUGGAAACGGAUGCUAAUACCGGAUGAUGACGUAAGUCCAAAGAUUUAUCGCCCAAGGAUGAGCCCGCGUAGGAUUAGCUAGUUGGUGAGGUAAAGGCUCACCAAGGCUACGAUCCUUAGCUGGUCUGAGAGGAUGAUCAGCCACACUGGGACUGAGACACGGCCCAGACUCCUACGGGAGGCAGCAGUAGGGAAUAUUGGACAAUGGGGGCAACCCUGAUCCAGCAAUGCCGCGUGAGUGAUGAAGGCCUUAGGGUUGUAAAGCUUCUUUUACCCGAGAUGAUU